Molecule: ribosomal RNA, 496 nt
Filed under: uncultured bacterium
Lineage: Bacteria
Description: partial 16S ribosomal RNA
Rfam family: Bacterial small subunit ribosomal RNA
Source: RNAcentral
AUGAACGCUGGCGGCGUGCCUAAUCCCUGCAAGUCGCGCGAACAGACGAGGAGCUUGCUCCUCUGACGUUAGCGGCGGACGGGUGAGUAACACGUGGAUAACCUACCUAUAAGACUGGGAUAACUUCGGGAAACCGGAGCUAAUACCGGAUAAUAUAUUGAACCGCAUGGUUCAAUAGUGAAAGACGGUUUUGCUGUCACUUAUAGAUGGAUCCGCGCCGCAUUAGCUAGUUGGUAAGGUAACGGCUUACCAAGGCGACGAUGCGUAGCCGACCUGAGAGGGUGAUCGGCCACACUGGAACUGAGACACGGUCCAGACUCCUACGGGAGGCAGCAGUAGGGAAUCCUCCGCAAUGGGCGAAAGCCUGACGGAGCAACGCCGCGUGAGUGAUGAAGGUCUUCGGAUCGUAAAACUCUGUUAUUAGGGAAGAACAAAUGUGUAAGUAACUAUGCACGUCUUGACGGUACCUAAUCAGAAAGCCACGGCUAACUACGUG